AUACGUAGGUGGCAAGCGUUGUCCGGAAUUACUGGGCGUAAAGGAUGUGUAGGCGGAUAUUUAAGUGAGAUGUGAAAUCCCCCGAGCUCAACUUGGGGGCUGCAUUUCAAACUGGGUAUCUAGAGUGCAGGAGAGGAAAGCGGAAUUCCUAGUGUAGCGGUGAAAUGCGUAGAGAUUAGGAAGAACAUCAGUGGCGAAGGCGGCUUUCUGGACUGUAACUGACGCUGAGGCAUGAAAGCGUGGGGAGC
RNAcentral lists this ribosomal RNA (248 nucleotides) under uncultured bacterium. RNAcentral describes it as "partial 16S ribosomal RNA". It matches the Rfam family "Bacterial small subunit ribosomal RNA", at positions 523 to 769 of the family's 1533-position model. The record is from RNAcentral.